This 752-nucleotide ribosomal RNA is filed under the name uncultured bacterium. RNAcentral's name for it is "bacterial SSU rRNA". It matches the Rfam family "Bacterial small subunit ribosomal RNA", at positions 57 to 809 of the family's 1533-position model. The record is from RNAcentral.
GCAGUCGACGGUGACGAGGGGCUUGCUCCUCUGAUCAGUGGCGAACGGGUGAGUAACACGUGAGUAACCUGCCCUUCACUCUGGGAUAACGCUGGGAAACUGGUGCUAAUACUGGAUAUGACCUGCUCGGGCAUCCGAUGUGGGUGGAAAGAUUUAUUGGUGGAGGAUGGACUCGCGGCCUAUCAGCUUGUUGGUGAGGUAAUGGCUCACCAAGGCGACGACGGGUAGCCGGCCUGAGAGGGCGAUCGGCCACACUGGGACUGAGACACGGCCCAGACUCCUACGGGAGGCAGCAGUGGGGAAUAUUGCACAAUGGGCGAAAGCCUGAUGCAGCGACGCCGCGUGAGGGAUGAAGGCCUUCGGGUUGUAAACCUCUUUCAGCAGGGAAGAAGCAGCCGGGUUUUCUUGGUUGUGACGGUACCUGCAGAAGAAGCACCGGCUAACUACGUGCCAGCAGCCGCGGUAAUACGUAGGGUGCAAGCGUUGUCCGGAAUUAUUGGGCGUAAAGAGCUUGUAGGCGGUUUGUCGCGUCUGCUGUGAAAUUUCGGGGCUCAACCCCGAACUUGCAGUGGGUACGGGCAGACUAGAGUGUGGUAGGGGAGACUGGAAUUCCUGGUGUAGCGGUGAAAUGCGCAGAUAUCAGGAGGAACACCGAUGGCGAAGGCAGGUCUCUGGGCCACUACUGACGCUGAGAAGCGAAAGCAUGGGGAGCGAACAGGAUUAGAUACCCUGGUAGAAUCACUAGUGAAUUC